GAGGAAUAUUGCACAAUGGGCGAAAGCCUGAUGCAGCGACGCCGCGUGGGUGAAGAAGGCCUUCGGGUUGUAAAACCCUUUUUUGGGGAAGAGAGAGGACGGUACCCCGAGAAUAAGGUUCGGCUAACUACGU
RNAcentral lists this ribosomal RNA (133 nucleotides) under uncultured bacterium. Its description in RNAcentral is "partial 16S ribosomal RNA". It matches the Rfam family "Bacterial small subunit ribosomal RNA", at positions 356 to 506 of the family's 1533-position model. The record is from RNAcentral.